UCUCCGUUGGUGAACCAGCGGAGGGAUCAUUACAGAGUUUUCACAACUCCCAACCCUUGCGAACCGUACCUAUUCUGUUCUCGUUGCUUCCGGCGGGGCGGACGGGGGGGCCCGAAACGCCCUCCCCGCCCCGCCCGCCGGGGGCGGCGGGACCUACGAGCCUUUCUAUCUCAACCACCAAAAAACGUACAACGAACCUAACAAACUUAUCAAAACUUUAAAACACGGAACUCUUGGCACUCGCAACGAUGAAGAACGCAGCAGUGUGGAAGAGCCUAC
RNAcentral lists this unclassified non-coding RNA (279 nucleotides) under plant metagenome. RNAcentral's name for it is "partial contains small subunit ribosomal RNA, internal transcribed spacer 1, and 5.8S ribosomal RNA". The record is from RNAcentral.